CAUCCAGCCGUUGAAACUGGCGUUCUUGAGUGGGCGAGAAGUAUGCGGAAUGCGUGGUGUAGCGGUGAAAUGCAUAGAUAUCACGCAGAACUCCGAUUGCGAAGGCAGCAUACCGGCGCCCUACUGACGCUGAGGCACGAAAGCGUGGGUAUCGAACAGGAUUAGAUACCCUGGUAGUCCACGCAGUAAACGAUGAAUGCUAACUGUCCGGUGCGAGUGAGCGCUGGGCGGUACAGCGAAAGCGUUAAGCAUUCCACCUGGGGAGUACGCCGGCAACGGUGAAACUCAAAGGAAUUGACGGGGGCCCGCACAAGCGGAGGAACAUGUGGUUUAAUUCGAUGAUACGCGAGGAACCUUACCCGGGCUCAAACGCAGGCUGACGGGUCCCGAAAGGGGCCUUUCUUCGGACAUUCUGCGAGGUGCUGCAUGGUUGUCGUCAGCUCGUGCCGUGAGGUGUCGGCUUAAGUGCCAUAACGAGCGCAACCCCUGUCCACAGUUGCCAGCAGGUAAAGCUGGGGACUCUGUGGAGACUGCCGGCGCAAGCUGCGAGGAAGGCGGGGAUGACGUCAAAUCAGCACGGCCCUUACGUCCGGGGCGACACACGUGUUACAAUGGCAGGUACAGCGGGAUGCCACGGGGCGACCCGGCGCUGAACCCGAAAACCUGUCUCAGUUCGGAUUGGAGUCUGCAACCCGACUCCAUGAAGCUGGAUUCGCUAGUAAUCGCGCAUCAGCCACGGCGCGGUGAAUACGUUCCCGGGCCUUGUACACACCGCCCGUCAAGCCAUGGAAGCCGGGGGUACCUGAAGUGCGUGACCGCGAGGAGCGCCCUAGGGUAAAACCGGUGACUGGGGCUAAGUCGUAACAAGGUAACCGUAA
This 878-nucleotide ribosomal RNA is filed under the name uncultured bacterium. RNAcentral's name for it is "bacterial SSU rRNA". It matches the Rfam family "Bacterial small subunit ribosomal RNA", at positions 617 to 1505 of the family's 1533-position model. The record is from RNAcentral.